GGGCCGGUAACUCAGUGGUAGAGGUUAGCUCCCCGUUGGACUCUCGCAUCAAUCACAACUAACUCCCCCCAGUGUAGGAUUGCAGCCUUCUCAUAGCCGCUCAUCCCGAAGUCACCGGUUCGACUCCGGUUCGGCCCU
Molecule: transfer RNA, 138 nt
Filed under: Ampelomyces quisqualis
Lineage: Eukaryota; Fungi; Ascomycota; Dothideomycetes; Pleosporales; Phaeosphaeriaceae
Description: tRNA-Gly
Source: RNAcentral